UCUAAUAUGGCAGAUUAGUGCAAUGGAUUUAAGCUCCAUAUAUAAAGAUCAUUCUUUUGUUAGAA
This 65-nucleotide transfer RNA is filed under the name Ptecticus aurifer. RNAcentral's name for it is "tRNA-Leu". The record is from RNAcentral. Lineage: Eukaryota; Metazoa; Arthropoda; Insecta; Diptera; Stratiomyidae.